Molecule: ribosomal RNA, 301 nt
Filed under: uncultured bacterium
Lineage: Bacteria
Description: partial 16S ribosomal RNA
Rfam family: Bacterial small subunit ribosomal RNA
Source: RNAcentral
CAGUAGCCGCGGUAAUACGAAGGGGGCUAGCGUUGUUCGGAAUUACUGGGCGUAAAGGGCGCGUAGGCGGCCAUUCAAGUUAGAUGUGGAAGCCCUGGGCUCAACCUAGGAAUUGCAUUUGAUACUGUUUGGCUUGGGUUCGGGAGAGGUGAGUGGAAUUCCCAGUGUAGAGGUGAAAUUCGUAGAUAUUGGGAAGAACACCAGUGGCGAAGGCGGCUCACUGGACCGACACUGACGCUGAGGCGCGAAAGCGUGGGGAGCAAACAGGAUUAGAUACCCCUGUAGUCCCUGUCUCUUCUAC